RNAcentral lists this long non-coding RNA (1151 nucleotides) under Musa acuminata (dwarf banana). RNAcentral describes it as "long non-coding RNA (MACU_LNC004786)". The record is from RNAcentral. Lineage: Eukaryota; Viridiplantae; Streptophyta; Magnoliopsida; Zingiberales; Musaceae.
AUUGCAAUUGCACUUGGUUGGGCCCGUACCAAUCGAUAUUUACCGAUUCGAGCCAGAACAAAGAUGCAGACCGUCCCUAUUUCGGAUGGUCUUGUACGGUCCAUUAAAAAAUAUUCAAAGAGAACUCGUGAUUAGGGUUCAAGACUUCUUUCUCUCCAAGUGAACAUUGUGGUCCGUGGCAACCAUCGUGUGACGCUAACAUGGUUUCAAGUAUACAUUCUCCUCCUCUUCCUCUAUUGCCUCUUCUUCCUUCCAUUUCCUCCUUCCUCCGCCGCCUCUACUUCUUUUUUCCUCUUCCUCCUUCCUACUCUUCUUCGUUCCUCUUCCUCCACGCCUUAUCUUCUUCUUCAUCCACUUUGGUACCUGCUGGUGUAUCGAGUGUCGAUAAACCGAUAUUAGCCGCUCCGGUAUAAGAUGAUGUUCCUUGCUACAGGUGCUGAUGAUUACCUCUACCAAGGUUUGCAAUAUCGUACCGUACCGGUAUUUCGAUCUGGGCUCGGUACCGGUACGGUACGGUAUACCGAGCGAUACACCCAGGUGUACCGAGUACUAUAGCACUGCUACAGUGCUACAGUAGCAUGCUACAGUGCACUCGGGCCAGUAACAGUCGAUCCGCGUACCGACAACCUGUCGGACCGGUACAUACCGCCCGUACCGGGCGGUACAGCUCGGUACGGCAGACCCUGACCUCUACGACCACCAGGCACCAGGAAUGCAAACAGGUCAAACUGAUCAAAACAGGAUUGUCUCCUAACAAAGAUGAUCCCAUGUAACCUGACAUUAGUCUUAUAUUUAAUGAUAAAUAGAAGAAGUAAUAGUAUGGUUGACAACCCAAAUGUGAUCUUCCCUGGCCUAGGACAUCCAGAUAGUACUUGCAACAUGACUCAAAUUGUUGCUCAGUGUUGGGAGGGUUCUCAGUUGUUCUUGACAGCCACAAACCGUGGAUCUCACAUUCAAAGACCAGGAUCACUAAAGCCAAGUCUACACAUUCUUCAUGGUCUAAAAAGACUUAAUUUCUUGUAGUUCUCAAAUGAUAUAUGGCUACAGUAUCCAGAAGCAGCCACUCGCAUCAAGUUAAAUUACUUGUAGGCCUGUGUCCAGCACAGGCAUGUAAUUUGAACUCCUAUUUAAAACUUCAUAUUUUGUAUAUG